Molecule: long non-coding RNA, 575 nt
Organism: Oncorhynchus keta (chum salmon)
Lineage: Eukaryota; Metazoa; Chordata; Actinopteri; Salmoniformes; Salmonidae
Exons: 8
Source: RefSeq, a predicted model, not a curated record
AUUUACUAAUCUUACCUAAGUCAUUGUUUAGAUAUGCAGCAAUAUUGACACAUGGGCCGAGCCAUGUGCCAACAGGGAGGAAGGAUGGUAGAGCAGGUUAUGAAACACCAGGUGGUAGAGCAGGUUAUGAAACACCAGGUGGUAGAGCAGGUUAGGAAACACCAGGUGGUAGAGCAGGUUAUGAAACACCAGGUGGUAGAGCAGGUUAUGAAACACCAGGUGGUAGAGCAGGUUAUGAAACACCAGGUGGUAGAGCAGGUUAGGAAACACCAGGUGGUAGAGCAGGUUAUGAAACACCAGGUGGUAGAGCAGGUUAUGAAACACCAGGUGGUAGAGCAGGUUAGGAAACACCAGGUGGUAGAGCAGGUUAUGAAACACCAGGUGGUAGAGCAGGUUAUGAAACACCAGGUGGUAGAGCAGGUUAGGAAACACCAGGUGGUAGAGCAGGUUAGGAAACACCAGGUGGUAGAGCAGGUUAGGAAACACCAGGUGGUAGAGCAGGUUAGGAAACACCAGGUGGUAGAGCAGGUUAGGAAACACCAGGUGGUAGAGCAGGUUAGGAAACACCAGGUGGU